This 307-nucleotide small nuclear RNA is filed under the name Octodon degus (degu). RNAcentral's name for it is "7SK RNA (ENSODEG00000024154.1)". It matches the Rfam family "7SK RNA". Rfam says of the family: 7SK was discovered as an abundant small nuclear RNA in the mid-70s but a possible function has only recently been suggested. Two independent studies have found that 7SK RNA binds the CDK9/cyclin T complex (known as elongation factor P-TEFb). The record is from Rfam by way of RNAcentral. Lineage: Eukaryota; Metazoa; Chordata; Mammalia; Rodentia; Octodontidae.
AGGUGUGAGAUCAGUCUGCUGGGAUCUGUCAUCCCAUUGAUUGCCAGGGCUGAUUUAGCUGAUCUGACAGGCUAGGCACCCCCUUCCUCCUUCAUCGCUCCAUGUGUCCCCCUCCUGAAGCUGCAGCCUGAAGUGGCAGCUGUGUGCUUGGUUAAAGAGGAUGACCACCCUGAUAGAGGAGGACCACUUCCUCAGUGGAGGUUAUAUGAGUAACUUCGUUCUCCUGCUAGAACCUUCAAACCAGCUUUCAAGAAAAGAAUCCUGGUGUUACCUAGGUAUACCUCCCAUCCCAGCACUUAAGAGGCUG